Molecule: non-coding RNA, 118 nt
Organism: Coniochaeta sp. PMI_546
Lineage: Eukaryota; Fungi; Ascomycota; Sordariomycetes; Coniochaetales; Coniochaetaceae
Source: the annotation of a GenBank genome assembly
GGACAGAUGGCCGAGCGGUCUAAGGCGCUACGUUCAGGUAACAGGUAUCCUCUUCCAGGAUACCACCACCGACUUCGUAGUCUCGCAAGAGGCGUGGGUUCGAAUCCCACUCUGUUCA